GGGAUGGUGGUGGAAUUGGUAGACACGCUAGCUUGAGGUGCUAGUCCGGGGUUCCGGUUGUGGGUUCGAGUCCCAUCUGUCCCA
This 84-nucleotide transfer RNA is filed under the name Spirochaetales bacterium. RNAcentral's name for it is "tRNA-Leu". It matches the Rfam family "tRNA". From Rfam's summary of the family: Transfer RNA (tRNA) molecules are approximately 80 nucleotides in length. RNAcentral also lists the same sequence under 1 other name. The record is from RNAcentral. Lineage: Bacteria; Pseudomonadati; Spirochaetota; Spirochaetia; Spirochaetales.